CCAAAGCGACUUACAAAUAAAUACAAUAUUUACAAUACAAGCAGUCAAAUCAACAACAGGGCAACAAUAUGUAAAUGUCGAGACCAGUCCAGCUAGUCUUGCGUAGCACACAUAACCAUGAUUAUUCAUAAUAGCUAUAGAAUAGGAAUGAUUACUAUUAGUGAGAUUAGUACAAUUGACAACCUAUAAAAAUUCAACAGGCUUAAUUAGUCAAAUUUGACCAAAAUGCAUUGCCAAUUAGUAGUAGUAGCAGCAGUGGAGUAUUCUUAGUUGUGAGCUGUGGCUUAGCAGUAGUGUGGUUAUUCAAGCAAGCAUACCACAUUGGAACCGAGAGUAAUUUGGUUCCAUGAUACAUGUUUUGAUUAGUGAUAAACAUCACUUGUUAUCCUUGCAAGUCUGGUCACUCCUUAAGUAUUCAUAGUUGUGUUUAUUUUGUUUCUAAUCUAACUAUCUAAGAAAUAUUUGAAAUGUGUUUUUGAUGUUCACAGAUUGCUCCUACCACACUCGCCUAGAGAGUGAGAAAGGUUAGACAGUCAUAAAGGAACUGCAGAGCUUAGGCAGUAUGCAGAGUGUAAUAUAGGAUUUAGAAACUUCCUUGUGUGUUGGCAAAUACAUAUUAUACAUACCAUAAUUGUUAGGUAGAUACUGUUUAUGUGUUCAGUCUUUUUGAAUUACAGUUUAUGAAGGAGUGUCUACUGAAAAUCAAUGAAACUCAAUGCCUAUAACCAGACAUAAUAGCCUAAUGCUAAGAAUGGAUUUUUUUGUUGUUGUCUUUUCUUACAUUAGGGCAAAGCAGAAAUGCUGGUUGACUGGGAGCCCUGUCCAGUAUGUGGUGAGCAGUGGGCCCAUUCCUGGCAGCCAAAGGAUUCACUCCAAAAUAAUGAAAAUCAAUAAAAUGUAUGUUUAGAACUCUAAACAUUUUGGUUUCAGUCUAUUUAUUAAAUUGUUUCUGUGCUGCAUUUGAAGUCAUAUCUCAUCUUUCUGUAGUAGUGAAAAGGGGAACAUCUCCAACAAUGUGACCCGGAGUUUAAUCUCAAAAGGGAAUGUACUAGAAAUGUACUUAAUCCAACUCAAUUUUCUUUUUCAGAUGUUAUUCAAAAGCAUGCUUUUUAUAUUUCAUGAUUAAUAAUUGCACUGUUAUUUUAUUACAGUUGACAUGUAAUUUGAUUUCAUUCAGUUCUGUUUUCUGUGCUUUUCAAGUUCACUUAACCUCACAGUCCACUGUUAAGAAAUACAACCUUAUGGCUUGUUUGACAUGAAGCUUAAAUAUGAAGUUCAACAAAAAAAGACUGACCUUCUUUAUACUCACACAUUAUAUCAUAUCUUUUACAUUGUCUCUCUCACUCUCUUCUACUUCAAACUCAUCAGCU
Long non-coding RNA from Carassius carassius (crucian carp), 1370 nucleotides. RefSeq lists it as uncharacterized. Lineage: Eukaryota; Metazoa; Chordata; Actinopteri; Cypriniformes; Cyprinidae. The record is from RefSeq and is a predicted model, not a curated record. The transcript is spliced from 3 exons.